RNAcentral lists this small RNA (28 nucleotides) under Bombyx mori (domestic silkworm). Its description in RNAcentral is "ovarian small RNA-28944". The record is from RNAcentral. Lineage: Eukaryota; Metazoa; Arthropoda; Insecta; Lepidoptera; Bombycidae.
UCGGAGUGGGCUGUCAGCGCCCUGUGGU